This 253-nucleotide ribosomal RNA is filed under the name uncultured prokaryote. RNAcentral's name for it is "partial 16S ribosomal RNA". It matches the Rfam family "Bacterial small subunit ribosomal RNA", at positions 524 to 776 of the family's 1533-position model. The record is from RNAcentral.
UACAGAGGUCCCAAGCGUUGUUCGGAUUCAUUGGGCGUAAAGGGUGCGUAGGUGGUCGGGUAAGUCUGAUGUGAAAUCUCUGGGCUCAACCCAGAAAUGGCAUUGGAUUCUAUUCGGCUAGAGAGUUGGAGGGGGGACUGGAAUUCUCGGUGUAGCAGUGAAAUGCGUAGAUAUCGAGAGGAACACCAGUGGCGAAGGCGAGUCCCUGGACAACUUCUGACACUGAGGCACGAAAGCUAGGGGAGCAAACAGG